Molecule: ribosomal RNA, 432 nt
Filed under: uncultured bacterium
Lineage: Bacteria
Description: bacterial SSU rRNA
Rfam family: Bacterial small subunit ribosomal RNA
Source: RNAcentral
GGGCCCGCACAAGCGGUGGAGUAUGUGGUUUAAUUCGAUGCAACGCGAAGAACCUUACCAGGGUUUGACAUCCUGCGAAUCUCUUGGAAACGAGAGAGUGCCUUCGGGAACGCAGUGACAGGUGGUGCAUGGCUGUCGUCAGCUCGUGUCGUGAGAUGUUGGGUUAAGUCCCGCAACGAGCGCAACCCACGUCUUUAGUUGCCAGCACAUUAUGGUGGGAACUCUAGAGGAACUGCCUUCGUAAGGAGGAGGAAGGUGGGGAUGACGUCAAAUCAUCAUGGCCCUUACGUCCAGGGCUACACACGUACUACAAUGGUCGGUACAAAGGGCAGCAAGUUCGCGAGGACAAGCAAAUCCCAUAAACCGUGGCUCAGUUCAGAUCGUAGGCUGCAACUCGCCUACGUGAAGGCGGAAUCGCUAGUAAUCGCAGGU